This 736-nucleotide ribosomal RNA is filed under the name Salmonella enterica subsp. enterica serovar Dublin. RNAcentral's name for it is "partial 23S ribosomal RNA". It matches the Rfam family "Bacterial large subunit ribosomal RNA", at positions 558 to 1274 of the family's 2925-position model. Lineage: Bacteria; Pseudomonadati; Pseudomonadota; Gammaproteobacteria; Enterobacterales; Enterobacteriaceae. The record is from RNAcentral.
GUGUACGUACAAGCAGUGGGAGCACAGGUUUACCUGUGUGACUGCGUACCUUUUGUAUAAUGGGUCAGCGACUUAUAUUCUGUAGCAAGGUUAACCGAAUAGGGGAGCCGGAGGGAAACCGAGUCUUAAUUGGGCGUUAAGUUGCAGGGUAUAGACCCGAAACCCGGUGAUCUAGCCAUGGGCAGGUUGAAGGUUGGGUAACACUAACUGGAGGACCGAACCGACUAAUGUUGAAAAAUUAGCGGAUGACCUGUGGCUGGGGGUGAAAGGCCAAUCAAACCGGGAGAUAGCUGGUUCUCCCCGAAAGCUAUUUAGGUAGCGCCUCGUGAAUUCAUCUCCGGGGGUAGAGCACUGUUUCGGCUAGGGGGCCAUCCCGGCUUACCAACCCGAUGCAAACUGCGAAUACCGGAGAAUGUUAUCACGGGAGACACACGGCGGGUGCUAACGUCCGUCGUGAAGAGGGAAACAACCCAGACCGCCAGCUAAGGUCCCAAAGUCAUGGUUAAGUGGGAAACGAUGUGGGAAGGCCCAGACAGCCAGGAUGUUGGCUUAGAAGCAGCCAUCAUUUAAAGAAAGCGUAAUAGCUCACUGGUCGAGUCGGCCUGCGCGGAAGAUGUAACGGGGCUAAACCAUGCACCGAAGCUGCGGCAGCGAACGUAUCACUUAAAGCGAUUCAGCGGGUUACGAUUGACGGAGCGAAGCGACGUCAAAGCGUAUACAAAGUCGAGUCGGUUUA